This 242-nucleotide long non-coding RNA is filed under the name Elaeis guineensis (African oil palm). RNAcentral's name for it is "long non-coding RNA (EGUI_LNC015733)". Lineage: Eukaryota; Viridiplantae; Streptophyta; Magnoliopsida; Arecales; Arecaceae. The record is from RNAcentral.
CUUCUGCUACCCCUUCUCCGGUCAAUUCGGGGAGAAGCGACGCCUUUCGGAGACCACAAAAUUCUCUCCGGGCUUUAUCACUUGAGCCCCCACCUUGUCAAUUCACUUUGACGAGGAUGAAAAACAACAACAUCCAACCUAUGCCACCCUCCAAAGAGAUAGGAUGCAAGCCGACCGCAGCUUCCAUGGCUCCGUCGAGCUCAGAUGAGGGAGAUAUCAUGACAAGAAUAUCACUUUUGGAG